GGGGAUUUAGCUCAGCGGUAGAGCACUUGCCUAGGGAGCGCAAGGCCCUGGGUUCGGUCCCCAGCCCCG
Molecule: non-coding RNA, 69 nt
Organism: Rattus norvegicus (Norway rat)
Lineage: Eukaryota; Metazoa; Chordata; Mammalia; Rodentia; Muridae
Source: Rfam